GAUGAACGCUGGCGGCGUGCCUAAUACAUGCAAGUCGAGCGAACGGACGAGAAGCUUGCUUCUCUGAUGUUAGCGGCGGACGGGUGAGUAACACGUGGAUAACCUCCCUAUAAGACUGGGAUAACUUCGGGAAACCGUAGCUAAUACCGGAUAAUAUUUUGAACCGCAUGGUUCAAAAGUGAAAGACGGUCUUGCUGUCACUUAUAGAUGGAUCCGCGCUGCAUUAGCUAGUUGGUAAGGUAACGGCUUACCAAGGCAACGAUGCAUAGCCGACCUGAGAGGCGGAUCGGCCACACUGGAACUGAGACACGGUCCAGACUCCUACGGGAGGCAGCAGUAGGGAAUCUUCCGCAAUGGGCGAAAGCCUGACGGAGCAACGCCGCGUGAGUGAUGAAGGUCUUCGGAUCGUAAAACUCUGUUAUUAGGGAAGAACAUAUGUGUAAGUAACUGUGCGCAUCUUGACGGUACCUAAUCAGAAAGCCACGGCUAACUACGUG
Molecule: ribosomal RNA, 497 nt
Filed under: uncultured bacterium
Lineage: Bacteria
Description: partial 16S ribosomal RNA
Rfam family: Bacterial small subunit ribosomal RNA
Source: RNAcentral